This 232-nucleotide long non-coding RNA is filed under the name Mytilus galloprovincialis (Mediterranean mussel). Lineage: Eukaryota; Metazoa; Mollusca; Bivalvia; Mytilida; Mytilidae. The record is from RNAcentral.
AACUGAGAAGUACAGGACGUAAAACACUUGUCCCAACAAGAUAUGAUAUUGAAAAAUUACAAGAUCAUAAAGUAAAAUAUGCAUUCAUCCUCCAAUUGAAGAAUAAGUUUCAAGCUCUGACAGAUAAUCCCGACAUGAUCCCAGCAGAAACAACAGAAGUCAACUCAAAAUGGGAUCAAAUAAGAACAAUAUACGAAACAACUAGCAAAGAAUGUUUGGGUUUUAAACAGGG